CUCUGCGCAAGGGAUCUUUUGGUUCGCUAGACGAAGAAGCGCGCAGCGGAAUGCGAAAUGUGCAGGAGUCGCAGCGAAGAUAGCACAUGCCUGAAAUCACGAGAGUGUGAGACUACCCCUUUGAAUUAAGCAUAUGAGUAAAGGGAGGAAAAGAAACUAACAAGGAUUCCUGAGUAGCGGCGAGCGAAGAAGGAACAGCCCCGAGUGUAAUCACCAAUAUGUGAGAUGUCAUUAAUCUAUAGAACGAUGUUGAAACUUCGGCCUGA
RNAcentral lists this ribosomal RNA (266 nucleotides) under Loma richardi. RNAcentral describes it as "partial large subunit ribosomal RNA". The stretch from base 93 to 266 matches the Rfam family "Eukaryotic large subunit ribosomal RNA", at positions 1 to 177 of the family's 3401-position model. The record is from RNAcentral. Lineage: Eukaryota; Fungi; Microsporidia; Glugeidae.